Phodopus roborovskii (desert hamster) is the source of this 128-nucleotide non-coding RNA. RefSeq annotates it as small Cajal body-specific RNA 4. NCBI's taxonomy places the organism in Eukaryota, Metazoa, Chordata, Mammalia, Rodentia, Cricetidae. The transcript has a single exon. The record is from RefSeq and is a predicted model, not a curated record.
ACUGGAGGAUCAAGAAGGCCGAGUCUGAUGAAGCUAGACUUUGCUGAUACACUCUUCCUAGACAAAGGGGUGGAAAAAGCAGCCCUUAUCAGAGAAAACCACAGGGUUGACUCUACUACCCAACUUUG